Ictalurus punctatus (channel catfish) is the source of this 341-nucleotide long non-coding RNA. NCBI's taxonomy places the organism in Eukaryota, Metazoa, Chordata, Actinopteri, Siluriformes, Ictaluridae. The record is from Ensembl.
GCUUAUUUUAACUAGCUGGCUGGCUAGCUAGAGUUAAUAGUGAAGACUUUGAGUAUUCAUGAAUAUGACUUAAAAAUCCUGUCAGGUUAGCUCAUAUUAGCUAGCUGGCUAGUGUUUAGCACUAACACAUUUGAGUAUUUAUGAAUAUGACUUAAAAAAUCCUGUCAGGUUAGCUCAUAUUAGCUAGCUGGCUAGUGUUUAGUACUACAGAUUUUGAGUUUUCAUGAAUAUGAUGUAAAAAAAAUCCUGUCAGGUUAGCUCAUAUUAGCUAGCUGGCUAGUGUUAACAGUGAAGAUUGUGAGUUUUUAUGAUGAUGAGAAAAAUGAUCAGGGAGCUCUCUG